AGAUUGCUAGUUUUAUUAAAACCCAUAUAUUCAGCCGAAGGAGGCCUAUAGAUGGUUGGAAGUACAUGAUAGAGGAGAUUGGACCAAAUGCCAAGAAAGGGAAGGGCAGUGUUUCAAGGUUACCUAGCAUACCAGAUGCAUCAACUCGGCCUUUUAGAGAGGAAGUAACAUCAUUGGACACUACUUUCCCCUCUUAGUGUUUCAAGGUUACCUAGCAUAGCAGAUGCAUCAACUCGGCCUUUUAGAGAGGAAUUAACAUCAGCGGACACUACUUUCCCCUCUAAUCGGGGGAGGACCGGAAGGUAGUAUUUUUAAAUUUUUGUUCAUAGAACAGAGUGUCAUUGCGGAACUAUGGACAUCAAUUUGUAAAAUUAGUACUGAACUUGUCUUAGGAGGUUUUGUUGAAUUUAGUACAAAAUUCUCAGUAGGUCCACUAUCUUAAUAAACAUAAUCUAUAUAUUUGUGUUGGUAUAUUUUUCUCUUCGUUUUCUAUCUCGAGCUGAAUAUAACUUUAUCAUCAUUUUCUCGUUUAAUAACUCCAUCACUGACAUGAGCAGGAUGAAAUUCCUACUUUACUUUAAUAUAGAAGCUUAAACCAUUGCAACAAUAAGCACAAAGAGUAAUCAACUGCUGAUCUGUUCCUAUAAAAUAUUUUUAUUAAAAGAAUUUAGUUUGCAC
RNAcentral lists this long non-coding RNA (678 nucleotides) under Nicotiana benthamiana. Its description in RNAcentral is "long non-coding RNA (NBEN_LNC038879)". Lineage: Eukaryota; Viridiplantae; Streptophyta; Magnoliopsida; Solanales; Solanaceae. The record is from RNAcentral.